AAGCGUGCACAUCAGCUCAUAGCGUAUAUUAAAGUUGUAUGCAGUUAAAAAGCUCGUAGUUGAAUUUCGGGAUCAACAUUUAAGGUCAUGCCGUUGGUAUGCACUGUUAUCAUUGAUUUCUCACCUUCUAAAGAACCGUAAUGCCAUUAAUUUGGUGUUACGGGGAAUUAGGACUGUUACCUUGAAAAAAUUAGAGUGUUUAAAGCAGGCA
RNAcentral lists this ribosomal RNA (211 nucleotides) under Funneliformis mosseae. RNAcentral's name for it is "partial 18S ribosomal RNA". It matches the Rfam family "Eukaryotic small subunit ribosomal RNA", at positions 574 to 786 of the family's 1831-position model. The record is from RNAcentral. Lineage: Eukaryota; Fungi; Glomeromycota; Glomeromycetes; Glomerales; Glomeraceae.